This 30-nucleotide non-coding RNA is filed under the name Rattus norvegicus (Norway rat). The record is from RNAcentral. Lineage: Eukaryota; Metazoa; Chordata; Mammalia; Rodentia; Muridae.
UGUUGACCAUUACAGUGUGGUCUGGCAGGC